RNAcentral lists this ribosomal RNA (454 nucleotides) under uncultured bacterium. RNAcentral's name for it is "bacterial SSU rRNA". It matches the Rfam family "Bacterial small subunit ribosomal RNA", at positions 24 to 474 of the family's 1533-position model. The record is from RNAcentral.
UCAGAUUGAACGCUGGCGGCAGGCUUAACACAUGCAAGUCGAGCGGUAGCACAGGGGAGCUUGCUCCCUGGGUGACGAGCGGCGGACGGGUGAGUAAUGUCUGGGAAACUGCCUGAUGGAGGGGGAUAACUACUGGAAACGGUAGCUAAUACCGCAUAACGUCGCAAGACCAAAGAGGGGGACCUUCGGGCCUCUUGCCAUCAGAUGUGCCCAGAUGGGAUUAGCUAGUAGGUGGGGUAAUGGCUCACCUAGGCGACGAUCCCUAGCUGGUCUGAGAGGAUGACCAGCCACACUGGAACUGAGACACGGUCCAGACUCCUACGGGAGGCAGCAGUGGGGAAUAUUGCACAAUGGGCGCAAGCCUGAUGCAGCCAUGCCGCGUGUGUGAAGAAGGCCUUCGGGUUGUAAAGCACUUUCAGCGAGGAGGAAGGUGGUGAGCUUAAUACGCUCAUCA